Nerophis ophidion (straightnose pipefish) is the source of this 1915-nucleotide long non-coding RNA. RefSeq lists it as uncharacterized. The record is from RefSeq and is a predicted model, not a curated record. NCBI's taxonomy places the organism in Eukaryota, Metazoa, Chordata, Actinopteri, Syngnathiformes, Syngnathidae. The transcript has 4 exons.
UGCUUCCCUCUGCUGCGGGAGCUCGCAGAAGUUCAGCUGGGAAAACACCAGACUCGCCCCCGCAUUCAUCAGGCAGAUUCCUCCCACUCUCCGCCGCAGCCGGCGGCAAUCAACACCUGACACACCUGCCAUUGAUGAAGGAUGGCAGUAUAAGAAUGGUCGACGCAGACUCAUCGACGUCGGAACGUAAUAUCUACUACCCCGCUUGUGUCACUACUGCUGUUUCCUUUCUGGACCUGGUUUGCCUUCCCAAUCUUUGACCCUGUUUUGGACUUUUGGACCCUACCUCCUGCCUUUGAUCCCCGCUUGGACCUUGGACUUCCCCCGGCUUCUUCCCCCUUUUGGAUUUGGACGCUGGACAUCCAACACGCACCUCAACAAACCUCACGGUAUUUCAGAGCGUCGGGGAAACUUUUACACGUCAACAAACUGCGUGGUUGCUUGCUCUGUAUACCUGACAGCUGAUUCAUUCCCACAUGAGCAGGUAUGUUACCAUUGAUUGAAACUUUUAUUAGCGGAUUGUACAGUUCAGUACAUAUUCCGUACAAUUGACCACUAAAUGGUAACACCCAAAUAAGUGUUUCAACUUGUUUAAGUCCGGUUCACACUUCCUGCUUUAUUUAUGCUGUAGUUUGCCUGAUUUUUUUUAUGUACUAAAAAUUGUUUCUUUUUAUGCUCAUCAUUGCACUGCUGCAGUCCGAGCACACGGCAGAUUUUCUUGUAUUCAGAUGACGUGCUGCUAGGAUUAAAGAGGAGCAUUUAAAACACAAAAUUUAAUUUCUAAUCGUUGCAUGCUGUGUGUUUAAACAUUUCAGCAUAUUGCUCGCAUGUCCUCUUGAUGAACAAGCAGUCUUAUCAUUUUUACAUAGUUAUUACAAGUAGCGCUGUUGCAAUCUUUUCUUGCAAAAUAUAAAGUUGAAGUACCAAUGAUUGUCACACACACACUAGGUGUGGUGAAAUUUGUCCUCUGCAUUUGACCCUUGUUCACCCCCUGGGAGGUGAGGGGAGCAGUGGGGAGCAGCGGUGGCCGCGCCCGGGAAUCUUUUUUGGUGAUGUAGUCUCUAAAUGUAGUUUUUUGUGCUUGAGCGCCGCCAUUUUUAGAUCUGACGACGCUCCGCGAUGUCAUCCCCACCUUUAGAUCAAUAACAGAACCAUCUGAAUAAAUGGCAACAAGCGAUUCUAAGGAAUUGAUACAGUGGGAACUUGUUAUAAACAAGAACCGAUUUUCGAUUCCCAUCCCUACUUAUCAUAACCUGACUCACUGAGCUCCACACAAGGAUCAGAGCUCGAGGGUAAUGCAAACUCCUUCAAGAUAGCAAAAAAUAAUGAACCAAUCAGGAUCGCCGGGCGGUAUUUCAUGGAUGUGACAUAGCGCCAAAGCGACUGUUUGAUUCAAACAACAAUGGCGGCACGCAGCAUAUUUUCUUUGCACAAAAAACAUCGAUCGUCCACUGAGAUUGUUGCAUUGUUUCAGUAAAAGUUGUCUAACUUUUCGCUCUGUCAUUAUCCAAUUUGUCGGCUGUUCUGUUUUGGAUUUUCCAGCGACGCUCUCAUCAGCGUCACAGGUUGAUUUCGAUGUGAGUAAUUGAAGUAGAACGUCAUUCAAGAUAACGGAAAAGUGGUUUAUCCAGUCACAUACAAUGAUUUUUUUUUUACAAGGCCCCGCCUUCUGAAAUAUAUCUCCUAUUGAUAAGUCCCAGAUCCUUGUGUGGAGCUCAGCGAUCUACAAAGAUCUGGCGAGAGUCAGGUUAUACUCAUCAGGGUCUCAAAUAAAGUUCCGCUGUAGAAUUCCAACUGUUCCGAGGAGUAGAGGGAAAUUCCGUUAUGUACAUCAUUGCUUCUCCAACUGUGAAAAGCGUAGCACUAAUGCAUAUCUUUCCAACUGGUGGCCCGCGGGCCACACCCGGCCCGCCAA